UUUAUUAAAGUUUAAAAGAUAAUAUUAUUGUAAAAAUAAGCCAAAAGGAACAAAAAUAACAGUAGAGGUGUUAAUAAUUUAACUGUAAGGAUAUUUUAAGUUAUUUUUUAAAAAUACAAGGAAAAAACCAGUACUAAACUCAUAAUAUGGGGACUAAAUGAGUUUUCGAUUUUAAGAUUGUUGAAAUUGAACUUAAGUAUGAAUUAUUAAAAAGCGGUGAUAUUUGACUUCCCAUUUCAUCUCAUCACCAUUACUUCUCAAUUAACUCCACUGAAAAUUUGGAAAUAAUAUUUAUCUCUUACUUCAGUAUUAAGGGUACCUUCAUAUAAUUUUUACAUUUUUCAUACACCCCACCAUAUAAAACUUAAAAUAUUUGUUUAGAUGGGAAAAAAAUAAUAAUAUGAUACUCUCCCUCUUUCUUUACCAAUGCAGCAUUUUUUUUUUCAAAACAAGUGUAGCUAUGGCCUAUGGGUGGUGCAAACUUUGUUAGAAAUCUCUAGUUAUUAGAAAUCUCCAUUUGUUUAGUGAAGGGCUGUGGCGAUUUUCUUGCACAUACUGGUAUUGGUGAUUCUCGACACCAACAGUUUCUGCAACCAGAUCAAUAUUUUCAGCAACCAGUUCAUCAAACACUCUUUAUCCUUAAUUUUUUCUUCCCUGCUGGCUCACCAUUCUUUCUAAUUCGACGGAGAACAAAGUCACAGGAUUCAGAGUGUAUUCAUGCAUAAUCCAGCAACCAUAGUUUGGAGAGUCAUCAUUCUCAUAUCUAAAAGCACCUUGCAGAAUAUCAUUGGAAAUCUAUUUUUUUUGGGUGUUGAAGAUAAACAUUAAGCAAAAGUGAAUGGUAAUAAAACUUUAAACUUACUGCUUCUUUAUCUUCUCUUGGGUGUUCUAAAUUAUUUUCUUUCAUAAUUAUAACAUUCAAUUAUGUGAUCUUUUAAAGAAAACAAUUUAAGA
RNAcentral lists this long non-coding RNA (954 nucleotides) under Citrus x clementina. Its description in RNAcentral is "Citrus clementina (C. clementina) long non-coding RNA (CCLE_LNC001973)". The record is from RNAcentral. Lineage: Eukaryota; Viridiplantae; Streptophyta; Magnoliopsida; Sapindales; Rutaceae.